AGUGACGAUAGCCUAGGAGAUACACCUGUACCCAUGCCGAACACAGCAGUUAAGCCCUAGAACGCCGGAAGUAGUUGGGGGUUGCCCCCUGUGAGAUAUGGUAGUCGCUUAGCGAAGGGAGUUUAGCUCAGCUGGGAGAGCA
This 142-nucleotide ribosomal RNA is filed under the name Streptococcus sanguinis. RNAcentral also lists the same sequence under 2 other names. Lineage: Bacteria; Bacillati; Bacillota; Bacilli; Lactobacillales; Streptococcaceae. The record is from RNAcentral.